RNAcentral lists this ribosomal RNA (493 nucleotides) under uncultured eukaryote. RNAcentral's name for it is "bacterial SSU rRNA". It matches the Rfam family "Eukaryotic small subunit ribosomal RNA", at positions 65 to 549 of the family's 1831-position model. The record is from RNAcentral.
AUAAGCAACUUUGUACUUGUGAGACUGCGAAUGGCUCAUUAUACCAGUAAUAGUUUAUUUGAUGGUCGAAAUUUACAUGGAUAACUGUGUGAAAACAGAGCUAAUACAUGCGAGAAGGGCGGGACCUGAGAGGGGCCGGUCUGUAUUUAUUAGUUUCCGAACCAGCGACAGCAAUGUCGGACGAACCGUUGGUGAUUCAUAGUAACUUGGCGAAGCGCACGCCCCAGCGGCGGCGCUAGUUCAUUCAAAUUUCUGCCCGAUCAACCUUCGAUUGCUGUGUAGUGGACAGCAAUGGUGAUAACCGGUGACGGGGAAUUAGGGUUCGAUACCGGAGAGGGAGCCUGAGAGACGGCUACCACUUCUACGGGAGGCAGCAGGCGCGCAAAUUACCCAAUCCCGAUUCGGGGAGGUAGUGACAAUAAAUAUCGAUGGUGAGCUACAAAGUUUACCAAUUGGAAUGAGAGUAAUGUAAAUGCCUUAACGAGUAACAAUU